Long non-coding RNA from Lathyrus oleraceus (garden pea), 749 nucleotides. RefSeq lists it as uncharacterized. The record is from RefSeq and is a predicted model, not a curated record. The transcript is spliced from 3 exons. Lineage: Eukaryota; Viridiplantae; Streptophyta; Magnoliopsida; Fabales; Fabaceae.
UCCAGGAUAUCUCCUGUUUUUGCCUUUCCUGAAGUUACGGUCUUAACAUUACCGAUAGACUGAUUCCGCUUUAUAACAGGAACUUUUUUCUUUAAAAGGUAUUUGGUUUUUAGAAAUGCUUUCAUUCUGUGCCAGUUUUGGCCUGUCAUAUCUCACAGGGCAGCAUUGUGUAUUGCCAAGGUUUUCACCAGAUCAAAGUCUCACUUGCUUCACCAGUUGACUAGCUUUGGUCGUGGGCUGGUUUUUCUGCAGGAUGUGUCAUGAUUGCAGCAGCUUUCAUGAGCCUUCUCCAUUAUCACGAGUCCAAAGCCUACUGCAUAUGUAAGUAUGUCUAAUAAUCAUGUAAACAUCAUGGUGCUAUUGCAAGAUUUUAGGCAAGGCAAUAUGCAACAGGAUAUUGAAUGGACUGCUGCAGCAGUAGGGCUAGCAAAUCAUGUAUUUCCAUUGGAUUGAUCGUGCAUUUCCAUGGUUUGAUGAGUUGUUUUUGGUUAGCCAAGAGUGAUAAGUGAAGUUGGUUUGUUGCAAGUUGUGUGCCUUGAUGCACUGCUUGCUGCAGAGUUUAUUUGGCUUAUGGCAUGAGGUUUAACAGGUUCACCACUGGUUAUGUGCUUAUGGUGCUGCUGCAAGAUAAUAAGCAAGGGUGCACACAUGGACUUUGGUGGUAAAUCAAGACAAGAUAGCGUGAGAUUAGGUCCAAGUUUGGGAUAGACCAAGGCUAAUGACCGUUGAUUCAAAGGUGUUCAAAUAGC